Molecule: non-coding RNA, 303 nt
Organism: Vicia faba (fava bean)
Lineage: Eukaryota; Viridiplantae; Streptophyta; Magnoliopsida; Fabales; Fabaceae
Source: the annotation of a GenBank genome assembly
AUGAAGACUACAGGUAACAGAUUUGUAGGAAUUGUUCAAGCUAAACAGAAACUUCAAAGAACACUUUCACAAAGAAUUAGAAUGGCUUCAGCUUUUGGUGAUGUACCAAAAGGACAUUUAGCAGUUUAUGUGGGAAAUGACCAUAAAAGGUUUGUAAUUCCAAUAUCAUUUUUGAGUCAUCCUUUGUUUAGAGAUUUGUUAGAUUGGGCUGAAGAAGAAUUCGGAUUUAAUCAUCCAAUGGGUGGUCUCACAAUUCCUUGCACCGAAGAUUAUUUUAUUAGUCUAACUUCUUCUCUUAAUUAG